Molecule: long non-coding RNA, 201 nt
Organism: Myotis davidii
Lineage: Eukaryota; Metazoa; Chordata; Mammalia; Chiroptera; Vespertilionidae
Exons: 3
Source: RefSeq, a predicted model, not a curated record
GUAUCAGAAUGGUAGUUUUUCUUUUCAAAAGCAAAUUAUUAAUUUUAAAAAUAAUUUUUAAAAAUUGAGAAUGUUGUAAAACUCAAAAGGUUCAAAAUUAUAUUUACUGAAAAGUAAGUCUUUCUCCUCCCCAUUUUUCCAGGAAGGUUUGGUGGAAAUGUUCAGAGAAGACAUAUUUCUAAAAAAAUAAAUAAUCUAAGG